RNAcentral lists this ribosomal RNA (472 nucleotides) under uncultured bacterium. Its description in RNAcentral is "bacterial SSU rRNA". It matches the Rfam family "Bacterial small subunit ribosomal RNA", at positions 355 to 825 of the family's 1533-position model. The record is from RNAcentral.
UGGGGAAUUUUGGACAAUGGGCGCAAGCCUGAUCCAGCCAUACCGCGUGAGUGAAGAAGGCCUUCGGGUUGUAAAGCUCUUUUGUCAGGGAAGAAACGGUAGUAGCGAAUAACUAUUACUAAUGACGGUACCUGAAGAAUAAGCACCGGCUAACUACGUGCCAGCAGCCGCGGUAAUACGUAGGGUGCAAGCGUUAAUCGGAAUUACUGGGCGUAAAGCGUGCGCAGGCGGUUGUGUAAGUCAGAUGUGAAAUCCCCGGGCUCAACCUGGGAAUUGCAUUUGAGACUGCACGGCUAGAGUGUGUCAGAGGGGGGUAGAAUUCCACGUGUAGCAGUGAAAUGCGUAGAUAUGUGGAGGAAUACCGAUGGCGAAGGCAGCCCCCUGGGAUAACACUGACGCUCAUGCACGAAAGCGUGGGGAGCAAACAGGAUUAGAUACCCUCGUAGUCCCUGAGCGGGCUGGCAAGGCGCAU